UGCUUAAAUCUUUUUACUCUCUGAGUUAUGAAUUUAGGUUAGUUCUACAUCCAAGAUAAAUCUCAAUUAAUUCUUCUUUUUUCUUUUCCCAUUUCCUCCUGUCUCCCUCUCUUCUUUCCUUCUACUCUUUUCUUCACUUUUCUCUCUCUCUUCUUCUCAGUUUUUAUUUUUGUAAUUUGAAAUCAAUGUGCAAGCCAGAGCUUCUUUAGGAAAGACCAUUCCUGAGAGAACAACAGGAAGAAAUAUGAAUGUUAAACAUGUGGUGCCGUGUGGAAGCAAAGCUCCAUAAUUAAUCUAUAGAGCCAUCACCACUGUCAAAAGCAGAAAGGCCCCAGAGGAAAUAAUUUUUGUAUAGAAUGAUGGCAGCAUUAGUGACAGCAGUAAUGAUAAGACACUGAAAAGUAUGUGAAAAUUUCCUUUACAAUCCUGUGUGAGGUUUAAUUAUAAAAACUAGUAUCUUGGACACUUAACUAUUUUUUUUCAGAGGGAAUCAGAGCUAUUUCCAUGAAUUAAUGUCUUAAUCCCCACAACAAUGAGGUCGUGGUCAUCUAGUUGUAGAAUGACUCCUGCCUGCUACAUUUCCCCAGAUACCCAGGACCUUCAUGCUGUCACUCUCCAUGACCUGACCAACAUCUAUUUUGAGAAAUUAUUUUAUAUACUCAUUCAAACAGAAUAGUACAUUACAGAUUCUGUCUGAGCAAAGAGGAGCAGCAAGCUGGUAAACCUGAAAUACUCAUCCAAAGAAACCAACGUCGUCAACAAUUCUGUGAAAAAUGUGGUUAUGGUAGGGCUUCCAACUUAUUUCUGGAACUAUUAAUAUAUCUAUUCAUGAUGAGAAAUCAUUUUUGUUAAAACUGAGUACAAUCAAGCAACACCACAUAUAUCUCUGGAAUGAAUGUAUACAGCUCAGAAAUAUUCACUAGGAUAAUGUUUUACCUAAGUGAAAUAAACUUGCCAGCACACACACACACACACACACACACACACACACACACCCCUGGCCCUCACAGUGAGAAGAGGCUUUGGUUUCUUGCUCAAACUUUUGCGAAGAAUGGAAGUUCUGUGGAGUAGUACAAACUCAAGCAAAAGAAGUCCUAAAGAUGGCUCCCUUCCAUCAACUUGCUCCAGCUUUAGGCUUCUAAAAGGGUCCAAAGAACAGCUCCAAUAGGAACAAUUCAUUAUUCUAAACUUGUUUCCUUUCAGUAAAAAUGGGAAUGGAGAUUAUGCAACAUGCUUGUUUAUUGACAUCUUCAGACCAUACUGACAUCUGCUUAUACCAUAUUGAGUGCUAUCCAGUAAAAUUCCCCUAUAUUUCCUGUUCCACUUCCUAGGUUCAUCCAAUCUGCCUUCUGGAAAUAGCGAUCAGCAAAAGUUGUAUUUCAUAAUUGUAUUAUUGGCUGAAUUAUUAAUUGAAAUGAAAACAACAUUUUAAUGGGCUUAAAAGUCGUUUGGAAAUGAGAUAAAAUGUUCUAAGCAGUGCCUGCCUAGACGCAGACCUAAAGGAAAGCACUCUGACAGUUUGAUUAUUAUGCACAUUAGCACAAUCGAGUUGGCUCCCAGUUCCUAGAAUAACAUUCUCCUCUAUGCAUAAAUGUCUCUCCUCAUUGUUUGCUUUUCAUUGCAUUUAUGUGUGAUGCCUCAAGGAUAAUUCUUUCCUUCUGAGUAAUCUCACAUAUUAUGUUACUGCAAUACUAUCUCUAUCGUUGCUGUCAUAAAUGACUUGCUUCUUUUGCACCAGUUGAGGAGAGAAACCCAAAAUCACAACUCAACCCUCCAAACUGGAUCUUUAUAGAGACCAACCAGAUCUAUAUGACCUAAUGCCUGUUACCUCUCUGACCUCAUUUCCUACUACCUCCUCCCCAUUUUGCCCAUUCUAGUCCAGUCACACUGGCAUCCUUCCUCUAUGCCAAACUCCUUGACCACACACCAAUACAGGACUUUUGCAUUAGCUAUUACCUCUGAUUAGACAAGUCUUCUCUACUCCCUUUCCUCUUUCAAGUCUCUGCUGAAAUGUCAACUUCUCAAAGAGGCUUAUCCUGACACUAUUAAAUACUGAAACAUGACCCCUGUGACUCAUUUGAACUCCUGUUCCCUUAAAUGGCUCUACUUUUACUUUUAUCCCUAGCACUUUUCAGUUACUAACCUAGCAGAUAAUUUACCUUUGUAUUUUGUUAUUUCUGCCUCCUGUCUAGA
This 2193-nucleotide long non-coding RNA is filed under the name Homo sapiens (human). RNAcentral's name for it is "HSALNT0314022". The record is from RNAcentral. Lineage: Eukaryota; Metazoa; Chordata; Mammalia; Primates; Hominidae.